GGGCACCAAGAAGUGACAGGGCACUGCUGGGGCUUCAUGGCCACUGACAACACCACAGAGUCAACACCCUCCUCACCACACUUCCACCCUCCCGUCUUUUGACUGAGAAGUUUCCAGUGAUCAAGAUCUGAAAUCUGUAUGGCAAACGGGGCAUAAGGCUUCUAGAGCACCAGAUGCCAAAACUGUCUGUCUGUGAGAAACAUCAACUCAGGGAUUCUGUUAAGUGUCCACUUACAGGAUUAUCCAGGGGAUUACAUGGGCUGUUGCACCAUCUGACCCGGCAGCCAGACCACAAGUGUAUUGAGAAACGACAAUAAUGCACUUCAAACCUUUUGUCAUCACAACAGAGAUGGUACUCUGUUUCAGCCAUUAAAUGAAUAAAUAUUUUUCUCCUGGG
Suricata suricatta (meerkat) is the source of this 397-nucleotide long non-coding RNA. RefSeq lists it as uncharacterized. The transcript is spliced from 3 exons. The record is from RefSeq and is a predicted model, not a curated record. NCBI's taxonomy places the organism in Eukaryota, Metazoa, Chordata, Mammalia, Carnivora, Herpestidae.